This 68-nucleotide transfer RNA is filed under the name Bactronophorus thoracites. RNAcentral describes it as "tRNA-Ile". The record is from RNAcentral. Lineage: Eukaryota; Metazoa; Mollusca; Bivalvia; Myida; Teredinidae.
GCGGCACUGUGCCAGAUAAUUGGGCUUUCUUGAUGUGAAAGAAUAUGAAGGUUGGUCCUUUCGGUGUU